Molecule: ribosomal RNA, 347 nt
Filed under: uncultured Aspergillus
Lineage: Eukaryota; Fungi; Ascomycota; Eurotiomycetes; Eurotiales; Aspergillaceae
Description: SSU rRNA
Rfam family: Eukaryotic small subunit ribosomal RNA
Source: RNAcentral
GUAGUCAUAUGCUUGUCUCAAAGAUUAAGCCAUGCAUGUCUAAGUAUAAGCACUCUAUACUGUGAAACUGCGAAUGGCUCAUUAAAUCAGUUAUCGUUUAUUUGAUAGUACCUUGCUACAUGGAUACCUGUGGUAAUUCUAGAGCUAAUACAUGCUAAAAACCCCGACUUCGGGAGGGGUGUAUUUAUUAGAUAAAAAACCAAUGCCCCUCGGGGCUCCUUGGUGAUUCAUAAUAACUUAACGAAUCGCAUGGCCCUGCGCCGGCGAUGGUUCAUUCAAAUUUCUGCCCUAUCAACUUUCGAUGGUAGGAUAGUGGCCUACCAUGGUGGCAACGGGUAACGGGGAAU